Molecule: ribosomal RNA, 423 nt
Filed under: uncultured bacterium
Lineage: Bacteria
Description: partial 16S ribosomal RNA
Rfam family: Bacterial small subunit ribosomal RNA
Source: RNAcentral
GAUUUGUGUACAAUGGGUGAAAUCCUGAUCCAGCAAUGCCGCGUGUAGGAUGAAGGCCUUCGGGUUUUAAACUGUUUGUGUACGGAACGAAAUGCUUUGGGUUAACACACUGACAUCACAAAGGUACAGCACGACAAAACCCAGGGUAACAUCGUGGAAGCAGCCGCGGUAAAACGUAGGUUGCAAGCGUUAAUCGCAAUUACUGGGCGUAAAGCGUGCGCAGACUGUUUUGUAAGACAGAGGUGAAAUCCCCGGGCUCAACCUGGGAACUGACUUUGAGACUGCAAGGCUAGAGUACGGCAGAGGGGGGUGGAAUUCCGCGUGUAGCAGUGAAAUGCGUAGAUAUGCGGAGGAACACCGAUGGCGAAGGCAACCCCCUGGGCCUGUACUGACGCUCAUGCACGAAAGCGUGGGGAGCAAACA